AUUUCAAGAUUUAAUUUCAAAUUUUAUUAAAAUUAUAAAUUGAAUUAAAAUUAAAUUAUAUAGAUUUAAUAUGUUAUAUAUUAUAAUAUGUCAAUUUUAUUAUAAAAUUUUUAAUUGUACUAUAUAAAUAUUAUCUAUAUGUAAAUAUUAUAAUAAAUUUUAUAAUAAAUUAUAUUUAAAUAUUAUAAUAAAUCAUUUUUAUUAAAUCAUAAUAAAUUAUUUUUACAAUAAUUAUUUUUAUAAAAAUUAUUUAUAUUAAAUUAUAUUUUUUAUCAAAUUUAAAUAAUUGUUUUUUUUUACUACCCUCUACUAUUUCAUAAAAUUAACCAAACAUAAUUUUAAUUAUUUUUAGAAAUACCAGCAUUACAAACCAAACAUAAUUUUAUUUUUAUUCCUGACUAUUCCAGUAUAGCAAGCAAUUUCAGGGAUAAAAAAAUUUAUCCCAAUGUUCGUUAUUCCCAAACCAAACGGGGCCUAACUAUACUGCAUUUGUAAUUUCAUCAAACCAAACGGCCCCUUAGUGUUUGUAAGAUUUUCGUCGUUUGAUCAACCCCGUUAACCAUUUUUAUCUGUUAAAUCAUACCAUUCAACCAAUUACUCACUCAAUCCUAAAGAACGACUAUCGCCCUAAACGCAUAUCUCUUAAUCCAAAGAUCGAAAACAUACAAGCACCGUGACUUAGUACUUUCAAAGUCAAAGGAGUUUAAGUAAAUUAUUGGGCUCAAUCCAACUCAACUUACUAGCUAGUUACCUAAAUCUAUUAUCCCCGCGUUACAUCUAUUUUAACCAAUAAUUAAUAGUCAAUAAAUAGUUGUGGACAAUUUUCAGCUUUUUGGCUCGUAUAAUUAAAACUUAAAAUUAAUUGUGGACACACCUUCCUUUGACCACGAAACUGGUUCCACUGACCAAAUUGUGCAUCAGUUUGUCAGGAAACAGUUCAUCAGUUUGUCUUUAAAAAAAAAAAAAAAAAUUCUGAAAAUUUGGUUCAGAUGUGUUCCCCAAAAGAACCAUCAAUUCAUUAAGCAGUACUCAUGCUUUGUUCUUAUUUACUGUUCUUCUGUAAUAAUUUUAUGGUAACACUAAUUACUAAUAGAGUACGGCUUGUAUACUUUUAGAAGCACGAAAACAUCCGUGCUAUACUUUUGAAAAUAUAAAAAAGUUGGUGCUUUCGAUCUUUUUACUUUUGGAUCAAGAACCAUACGUAGAAUUAGAAUAAUAAUGAUCCUUCUUAGGGUUGAGUGAUCUCCUUAGUAUUUAGUAGCCCUCUAGAAUAAUAAUAUUACUCCAUAGACUAGAAAUGAUCAAAGAGUUUGAUUCAAGGCUUAAAAAUUUGAAAGCACCAACAACUUUUUUAUACUUUCAGAAGCGCCAUAGUUGGACUCUCUCUCUCUCUCUCUCUCUCUCUCUCUCUCUCUCUCUCUAUAUAUAUAUAUAUAGUCUGGUUGCAAUACUAUUAAUAAUAUCAAAUGCUUAGUGCUAUCAAAUUUUUUGCCGUUAAAUUUAUUUCUUUGACCAUUUUCACCUGUUAGAUCAUACUAUUCAACUAACUAUCUGUGAGAUCAUCCGGCAUAUUUUUUCAUCUAAAUAUCGAAAAUCUAAUAGCACUAAUAACUUUGUGUUAUUUUUAUUUUUCUAACCUAAUUCUAUAUAUGUGUGUAUGCAUUAUUAUAAAGUGUUGUACUAUGAAAGGGACGUUGAUAGAGAAAGAGCUACAGUGUGGGGCCUCACACCAUAAAAUUAAACCAGUUCGCCAUCUGGUGAGGAGGAAGUAUCAUAAUACAGAAAUUUAUUCAGUACAAUAUGCAUGGUAGGAGAUGUGGCCACAAAUAAGCUCGCAUCUUAAAGCAUUCUUUUCAAACACUAGUGUGAGGCAGAGUUGUUUUUUUUUCUCCUCGUGCGCCUAAGAGAGAGAGCUCAAAAUUUUAGAAAUAUUUUUUUUUAUUUUUAUUUUUUAAUAUAUUCACAAUAUAUUUUUUUAUUAUUUUAAAAUAUUUCUGCAGUUACUAUCCGUUAAGUUAACUUGGGUUAAACGUCAGUUAAAUAUCUAUUAGAGUUAAAAAAAAAAUCAAGCAAAUAAAAAAUAUUGGUGAUGGUAGAAAGUUAUAUUUGAAAAGAUCAAAAAUCAAAACACUUUUUGUACCCCUAGAGCAAAUAAAAAAAGUCGGUAAUAAUGGUGGAAGUGUAUAUUUGAAAGAGCAAAAUAGUAAUUUCAUACAGAUAACAGUUAUUAUUUACAGUUCAUUAAUAGAAUUUAACGCACUAGGGGUAUAUUUGAAAUAGAUUGGAACGUAAAAUUUUUUUUUUUAAUAUUAGCCUUCUAAGAGAAAUAAAUCAGAAAGUCGAAAAUUUUAUAGAAAUAUAUAAACAAUUAUCCCAAUAGAAAAAUAUUAAGUUAAAGAUCCAAAAGAAGUCAAAAUCCAACAUCGCUCCAUCAUUUACGAUUUUGAUAUAAUAAAAAAAAAAGAAGAGAAUCAAUAAGAGUAGUGUAAUGGCAUAUAUAGUUAAUCGUAUUAAUUUCAUCCCACAUUUUGCCUGUCUCAAAUGUGCCAAAAAAUUUUACAUAACUAAUUAAUUUGGCUAUGAAAAUUUUUAUAGGAUUAUUUAGAGCUAGGCUUGUAUAUGCUUUUAGAAGCCUGGUGAUCUCUGUGCUAUCAAGUCGUUUUUGAUACUGAAAUUUCCGAAUCGACAAUUUAUUUUGUUAGACUUAAUUUAAAGUAUUUAAAAAAUAAAUUUCAUAAUUUUUCAAUAUCAUUUACCUAAUUAUUGAAGAGGCCGAAAAUCAAUAAUUUUAAUGAUCGUGGUGAAACAUUUGCAAGUUUAAUGAUUUAGAAAAAUGAAAAUCAUAUAAUAUUUUGAUAGAAAAUUUAUUAUACUACAUAAAAUAAAAUCAAUAUUUUUGAUCUAAAAUUUUUGUAUCAUAUUAUCACUUUUUAUAAGAUUUUUUUAUUUUUAGCUAUUAAUUUUGAGUCAUUUCAAUCGCUAAGUAAAUGAUAUUGAAAAAUCACGAAAUUAAUUUUUCUAGAUACUUUCAAUAUUCUAUAUCAAGUCUAACGAAACCGACCGUUGAUUUAAAAUUCAAGUAUUAAGAGCGACUUGAUAUGCACCUCAAAACCAACUUAAAAAAAAAAAAAAAAAA
This 3136-nucleotide long non-coding RNA is filed under the name Ananas comosus (pineapple). Its description in RNAcentral is "long non-coding RNA (ACOM_LNC028562)". Lineage: Eukaryota; Viridiplantae; Streptophyta; Magnoliopsida; Poales; Bromeliaceae. The record is from RNAcentral.